UACGUAGGGGGCAAGCGUUGUCCGGAUUUACUGGGCGUAAAGAGUGUGUAGGCGGCCAAACAGGUCCGUUGUGAAAACUGGAGGCUCAACUUCCAGACGUCGACGGAAACCGUGUGGCUAGAGUCCGGAAGAGGAGAGUGGAAUUCCUGGUGUAGCGGUGAAAUGCGUAGAUAUCUGGAGGAAUACCGGUGGCGAAGGCGGCAUCCUGGACCAUUACUGACGCUGAGGCGCGAAAGCUAGGGGAGCAAACGGG
This 253-nucleotide ribosomal RNA is filed under the name uncultured bacterium. RNAcentral describes it as "partial 16S ribosomal RNA". It matches the Rfam family "Bacterial small subunit ribosomal RNA", at positions 524 to 776 of the family's 1533-position model. The record is from RNAcentral.